AUGGCAAGCGAACCUGGAGGAUCACAGAGGAGGGGGGCCAAGGAGAGUACGGACGACCUGCUGGCCCGGUUGAACUUGCAGGAAGAAGAAGAAGAAGAUGACUUCGUAUGGGAGGAUGAGCUUCUAGAUCUAUUGGCGCCGGCCAAGUGGUUGGCGAUUGCUAGGGUUCACACACCCAAAACUUUUAGCCCGUGCGCUCUGUAUGGUGACAUGCGCGCGGCAUGGAACCUGGCUAGACCGCUGGUUUGGAGGAGAGUGAACGACAACCUGUUCACGGCGCAAUUCGGGUGUCUAGCGGAUUGGAUCAAGGCCAUGUUUGAAGGUCCAUGGCUCUUCAGGGGACAGGCAAUGAUCAUGUAG
RNAcentral lists this ribosomal RNA (360 nucleotides) under Triticum aestivum (bread wheat). RNAcentral describes it as "partial small subunit ribosomal RNA". Lineage: Eukaryota; Viridiplantae; Streptophyta; Magnoliopsida; Poales; Poaceae. The record is from RNAcentral.